RNAcentral lists this long non-coding RNA (292 nucleotides) under Gossypium raimondii (Peruvian cotton). Its description in RNAcentral is "long non-coding RNA (GRAI_LNC007362)". Lineage: Eukaryota; Viridiplantae; Streptophyta; Magnoliopsida; Malvales; Malvaceae. The record is from RNAcentral.
AAAUGGGAAGGAAAAGUUGAGAGAAAGUGAGAGAGGAGAAGAGAGAAUGAGAGUGUGAGGGAUGAGUUGAAUGAUCAGAAAGGGGUGGCUUUUAUAGCUGAUUGUGGCUCCUAAAAAUAGCAAAUUCCAUCAGCCAAAGAGACACCCCUUGGCCGGCCACACACAUGGCAAAGUUGAGAGAUUCAACUUUGCUAAAAAUAGCCUAGGGCAAAUCCAUAAAGCCACAUUUUUUGGAGGGGUUUGAAUGUAAGGUUGAAAGUUCUUCAAGGGCUUCUUUGAAAGCUUAUUUAGU